Argiope bruennichi is the source of this 2432-nucleotide RNA transcript. RefSeq lists it as uncharacterized. The record is from RefSeq and is a predicted model, not a curated record. The transcript has 8 exons. Lineage: Eukaryota; Metazoa; Arthropoda; Arachnida; Araneae; Araneidae.
UUCUGAAAUUCGCGUCGCAUAAAAUUAUAUCGAGAAGUUUUUGUUUGUAAGAAAAUUGUAGCAUUCUCUAGAAUGAUAGUUCCAAUUGUUUGUUGUUGAAUGUGGAAUAGUAUUUUGUGUGUAUGUGGACGAUUAUAUAGAAGCAAAGAUACAUUUUGUAUACAUGUAAAAUUUUUAAAGAAGGGGAAAGAUUGUUUGUAAUUUAUUUAUUUGUGUGAAUGUGAACAUCUAUGAAAUGCAGCAUAUUACUAAUCCUUGGCAAAACAGUAUUCCGGCUGGUGUGUCUCCUUCAUCAGUUGCCCUAAAUAAUUUCAAUCCAGAUGCAAUGAAUUACGGAGGUCUGCCACCAGAAGUGGCUCCUACAUCUACAGCUGUGUAUGCAAAUACAUCAACAUUUUCAUGGGCACACACUGUUCCAAGUUUUAUGCCCUGGGUAACAAAAGGUGAUUCAAAUAUGCAAGAACCCAUUGUACACUUUACAGCUCCAUUUCCACCAGAUCCGUGUACCUCACAAACUGCUACUAGCUGGGAACUAUUGAAUAAUUUUGGACCUAAUAAAAGCAAUGUGAAUUCCCAUUUAAAGAGGAAAAGUGAUCUCGAACUUCUUGAUGUCGGACCUCAAAAGCUGUGUAUUACUGAAGAACGUAUGGCAGCACGCUUUCGUGAGAUGCAUAUCAGUAAUGAAUACACAGUUCCUUCAGAAAAUACUCCAUUUGGACCUUGUGGUCCUCCUGUUGAAUGUGAUUCAAUGAAUAAGACAGUUACAAAUUUAAAUCAGUUAGAUUUUAUAUUAAAAGGCAAUGAGGAUGGUUCCAGUUCAAAAUCAUUAGUUUUAGCUCCUGAACUUAAAAAACUUGUAGAGCCAGAAAAAAUAUUUGCUAGUGCAUUUUUAGAUAAAGUAGAACGACCUUCAUUAGCACUUGUGCCAUGGACACCACCCAAUAACAAUCCACUCCUAAGGCCAAAUGAAAACUCAGAUGACGAUGAAGUAGAAGAAGAACCUGUUCUAUCAAAUGCUAACAGUUCUGGUAUAAGGCAAUCGAAUGAUCUGUCUCUUGCAGCUAUUAUUUAUUACCUCUAUCGGUUCUAUUUAUAUUUGGUCGACAAAGAGCACUGAUCCUUUUUUUCGAAAUUUCGCAUGUUGCUUAUCCCACUAUAACAUCAACCAUUUCUAUCUUUCGUGUUUUUUAUCCUACUUUUCCAAAAUUUUGAUGAUAAUCACUAAGUCCUUUUAGUGCCUUGUACAAAUCAGUGGCGAAUCUAAUAAAAGUUAAUUAACUAAAUUUAGAAAUUUUACCUGGCAAUAUAAAUACCUAUAAAAUACAGACUUCUCUGUUACUCAGCAAUGAAAACGAGGUGCGUAGUCUCAUUAAAUGUCCUUAAACUGCUUAUUUUUAAUGCUUAUAUAAGGAUCUUAAAAUUUUUUGUACAAGUAUUUAUUUUUCUUUCUCAGGGAAAAAAAUCACAUUAGGGAAACAAAAUAAAAAUAAAUAAAAUUCAACAGCAUUACAGAACUAUGCCAGAUCUGCCUGAUUAUAGGAUUGCACUUUCUUUGCGAUAUCCUAUUUUUGACAGGAUCUAAGACUCUAUAAGAGACUUUUGGAUUCAUUAUCACAGUUUACGAAAAUAAGUUAAUGAAAAUAAAAUUCCUUUUUCAUUUCCUCGUAUACGAAAUAUUCAGAGAGAGAAUUGCAACCAUUAAAAAUUCAAGAUCAAAAUUUUGCCUAUCACGAUAAUUUAGACCUUCAAAAAAUAAAAUUUAGGAAUCUAUAUAUAUCUUUAAAAUGUUAACUCAAAAAUAGUAUGAAUAGGCAGAUGAAAUUUGGUUAUUGUAACUCUAAAUUUACAAAUUUUUAUAAAAUUUGAAUUCACAUUCAUUUCUAGGACAGUUCCUCCCCUUCACUGUCUGCACAAAUGCUAGUAAACACAAUAAUUUCAAAAUGAUCUGUAAAAUUUACCACAUAUUUUAGCAUUUAAAGUGUAGAUCAAUAUUAACUUUUAAACCAAAUCUGUACAUGAAUUUACCAUCUAUCGGUCUGCACAUUUGUGCGAACAUAAACUCGCUAAUUCAAAAUCCAACUAAUUAAAUAAACAAAAUUUAAUAAAAUAAUCUUAAUAAUAAUGCAGUAGCUCUGUGUCAUUUGACCAAUAUAAGGCACCUUUGUGAUUUGGUCAGCCUUCUGAGAGCCUGGCAAAGAAAAUAGUCACCAAGGAAGGAAAAAAUUUGCAAAAAAUCCUGAAAUGUUUGCAAACAAAAAUGGAAUUAACUCAAAUCCAACAUCCACAUUUGAAGAUACCAUGGAUACAUAACAUAGGAACAGCUGAAUUUGUCUCUGACAACAAAUGAUAAACUGUAUUUUUCAUUGUAUUUUACUUCUUACACUUGUUCAUUUUUUUCCUAUUUAAAUGAAAAUAAAAAUACUUUAUUUGUA